AUUGAACGCUGGCGGCAUGCCUUACACAUGCAAGUCGAACGGUAACAGGUCUUCGGAUGCUGACGAGUGGCGAACGGGUGAGUAAUACAUCGGAACGUGCCUAGUAGUGGGGGAUAACUACUCGAAAGAGUGGCUAAUACCGCAUGAGAUCUACGGAUGAGAGCAGGGGAUCGCAAGACCUUGUGCUACUAGAGCGGCCGAUGGCAGAUUAGGUAGUUGGUGGGAUAAAAGCUUACCAAGCCGACGAUCUGUAGCUGGUCUGAGAGGACGAUCAGCCAAACGGGGACUGAGAAACGGCCCAGACUCCUACGGGAGGCAGCAGUGGGGAAUUUUGGACAAUGGGCGCAAGCCUGAUCCAGCAAUGCCGCGUGCAGGAUGAAGGCCUUCGGGUUGUAAACUGCUUUUGUACGGAACGAAAAGCCCCGGGUUAAUACCCUGGGGUCAUGACGGUACCGUAAGAAUAAGCACCGGCUAACUACGUGCCAGCCGCCGCGGUAA
Molecule: ribosomal RNA, 498 nt
Filed under: uncultured bacterium
Lineage: Bacteria
Description: partial 16S ribosomal RNA
Rfam family: Bacterial small subunit ribosomal RNA
Source: RNAcentral